AUACGAACCGUACGAACGUUAUUCGGAAUCACUGGGCUUAAAGGGUGCGUAGGCGGCCUAGUAAGUUGGGUGUGAAAUCCCUCGGCUCAACCGAGGAACUGCGCUCAAAACUGCUAGGCUUGAGGGAGACAGAGGUGAGCGGAACUCAGGGUGGAGCGGUGAAAUGCGUUGAUAUCCUGGGGAACACCAGUAGCGAAAGCGGCUCACUGGGUCUUUUCUGACGCUCAGGCACGAAAGCUAGGGGAGCGAACGGGAUUAGAUACCCCGGUAGUCCUAGCUGUAAACGAUGAGCACUGGGUUGGAGGGUCCUCCAUAGCCUUCCAGCCGUAGCGAAAGUGUUAAGUGCUCCGCCUGGGGAGUAUGGUCGCAAGGCUGAA
RNAcentral lists this ribosomal RNA (377 nucleotides) under uncultured bacterium. RNAcentral describes it as "bacterial SSU rRNA". It matches the Rfam family "Bacterial small subunit ribosomal RNA", at positions 523 to 898 of the family's 1533-position model. The record is from RNAcentral.